CCUACGGGAGACAGCAGUGGGGAAUAUUGCACAAUGGGGGAAACCCUGAUGCAGCGACGCCGCGUGAAGGAAGAAGUAUUUCGGUAUGUAAACUUCUAUCAGCAGGGAAGAAAAUGACGGUACCUGACUAAGAAGCCCCGGCUAACUACGUGCCAGCAGCCGCGGUAAUACGUAGGGGGCAAGCGUUAUCCGGUUUUACUGGGUGUAAAGGGAGCGUAGGCGGUUUAGCAAGUCAGAAGUGAAAGCCCGGGGCUCAACUCCGGGACUGCUUUUGAAACUGUUGAACUAGAGUGCAGGAGAGGUAAGUGGAAUGCCUGGUGUAGCGGUGAAAUGCGUAGAUAUUAGGAGGAACACCAGGGGCGAAGGCGGCUUACUGGACUGUAAAUGACGCUGAGGCUCGAAAGCGUGGGGAGCAAACAGGAUUAGAUACCCUUGUAGUC
Molecule: ribosomal RNA, 440 nt
Filed under: uncultured bacterium
Lineage: Bacteria
Description: partial 16S ribosomal RNA
Rfam family: Bacterial small subunit ribosomal RNA
Source: RNAcentral